CCCUUAGAUGUUCUGGGCCGCACGCGUGCUACACUGAGUGGAUCAGCGGGUCAGGUUGCGCGAAAGCGUUUCCUAAUCUUUAAAUCCGCUCGUGAUGGGGAUUGACGGUUGCAAUUUUCUGUCAUGAACGAGGAAUACCUUGUAAGCGCGGGUCAUCAUCCCGCGCUGAAUACGUCCCUGCCCUUUGUACACACCGCCCGUCGCUCCUACCGAUUGAAUGGUCCGGUGAAAUCUUCGGAUUGAGACUUUGAUUUGUUUACUCAAAACGCUGUUUCAAGAAGUUGAUUAAACCUUACCAUUUAGAGGAAGGUGAAGUCGUAACA
RNAcentral lists this ribosomal RNA (323 nucleotides) under uncultured eukaryote. RNAcentral's name for it is "partial 18S ribosomal RNA". It matches the Rfam family "Eukaryotic small subunit ribosomal RNA", at positions 1470 to 1796 of the family's 1831-position model. The record is from RNAcentral.